RNAcentral lists this ribosomal RNA (328 nucleotides) under uncultured eukaryote. Its description in RNAcentral is "partial 18S ribosomal RNA". It matches the Rfam family "Eukaryotic small subunit ribosomal RNA", at positions 1470 to 1796 of the family's 1831-position model. The record is from RNAcentral.
CCCUUAGAUGUCCGGGGCUGCACGCGCGCUACACUGAAGGAAUCAGCGUGCUAAAACCAUUGUCGAAAGGCAUUGGUAAACCCAUUAAAAUCCUACGUGAUUGGGAUCGGGAAUUGCAAUUAUUUCCCUUGAACGAGGAAUUCCCAGUAAGUGUGGGUCAUAAGCUCGCGUUGAUUACGUCCCUGCCCUUUGUACACACCGCCCGUCGCUGCCCGGGACUGAGCCGUUUCGAGAAAAGCGGGGACUGCCGCUGUCGGGGCUUUCGGGCCUUGGCUUCGGUGGAAACCGCUUUAAUCGCAGUGGCUUGAACCGGGCAAAANUCGUANCA